RNAcentral lists this ribosomal RNA (224 nucleotides) under uncultured bacterium. RNAcentral's name for it is "partial 16S ribosomal RNA". It matches the Rfam family "Bacterial small subunit ribosomal RNA", at positions 524 to 742 of the family's 1533-position model. The record is from RNAcentral.
UACGGAGGGUGCGAGCGUUGUCCGGAAUCACUUGGGCGUAAAGGGCGCGUAGGCGGCGCGGAUAGUCGGCGGUGAAAGCCCGGAGCUCAACUCCGGGUCGGCCGUCGAUACUUCCGGGCUUGAGCAGCUGUAGAGGCAGGAUGGAAUUCCGGGUGGUAGCGGUGGAAUGCGUAGAGAUCCGGAAGAACACCGGUGGCGAAGGCGGUCUGCUGGGCGAGUUGCUG